CAGGGAUACACACGGAUACACUUAGGCCCCCAGAUCUGAAACCCCUGCUGAAUCCAGCCUGCGCGCGUCGGCGUCCGGAGCACAGCGCUGCCAGCCCGGAGUGGGCUGCCAAGGGGGCAUGAGCGCUAAUUUGGCGGCUCCGCGCCUUCCCCGCCAGGGACCUCUCCGCUAGAGCACAUCCCGGGAAACAAACACCUAGGAAGAGCAGGGCUGAAAACCGCCGGGGGCCGGGGGCUGACGCUGGUAACCGAAGCCGCAGUGCCUGGGGCCGGGCGCGCGGGCCGGGCUGGGCGGAGGGCCUCGGAGCACCCCGCCGCCGGGAGCCUGUUCGCGAGGAUUGGCCCCGCGCGCGGCCCGACCUGGGAAGCGGGUGGAGGCUGCUCCCCCCUCUCCCCACCCCGCCCGCAGGGGCAGAGCGCGGCGCAGCGGCGGCGGGGCGGCUCGGUGCCCGGCGGGCGGGCGGCCCGUCUGCGCGGCCCGGGCGGCCUGCGGUCGGGAUGAGGACUGCCCUCCGCGCCCAGAGCGCCGGGGCCGCCGCGGCCGUGCCGGGAGCUCCAUCGCGUCCGCCAGCGCGGCGACCGGAGCGGGGCCCUCGGAGCGGGAGCCAAGAAAUCCUCAUUCCUCAGGAAACUGACCUGUGCAGCCUCCCAGCUGAGGGCCUGAUUCCCCAGGUAUGUAGCUGAGGACAGCUGGACACUGUCAGGCCUGCACCUGGCCAGCUCCCUCCAUCUCCCCACCCUACCUCCCCGAGAGACCUUCUCCCAAAUUCUGCUGUCGGAGGUGGCCACGGGGCUCCGAACCACAGCCCUGAGCCCGGGAGGGGGUGUGGGCAGCAGGGCAGCAGCAGCCAGGCCCCUCCUUCUGCAACAUCUCCACAGCAUCUACCUGUGCCAGCGAUGGAACAGUUAGGGUUUUAAUCAGGAAAAUAUGUCGGUUCCCAAACGUUUUCUGUUAGAUGUCUCAGGAGGAGGCAUUGGCUUAUCUCACCCCCUGCCAUGACCCUCUGAAAAGGUUCUGGUAUUACCAGGUCACAGAGGGAGAGACCAAGGCUAAGGGAGGCUGGAUGGCAUGCCAUCAUGGGGCGGGGGAUCUGAGCAGGGGCUGCUGACCCUGUCGGCCCCUCACCACCCACUCACCCUGCCCUGUGGACACAGCUUGGGGCCUGGGUCUGCAGGGCCUUCAUGCUAUCGCUCCUCCAACCUCACCUGCCACCCUCUGGAAGCCACACCAGUGGCCAUACCAGUGUCCCAGGGGCUGGCGGGCUCAGGGCUGUGAGGAAGGCCCCAUGAGGUCAGAGGCACUCACUCACCCAUCCACACACCUGAUCCCAUGGGCCUCAAGGCCUUUCGCCCUGGAAGCCCUGGGCCUGGGGCUGGUGCUGGAUCAGCCUGAGUCCUGCCCCCUUGGGCUGUCUGGGAACUCAGGAGGGGAGGUCCCACAGGCC
RNAcentral lists this long non-coding RNA (1444 nucleotides) under Canis lupus familiaris (dog). Its description in RNAcentral is "lncRNA (ENSCAFG00000048000.2)". Lineage: Eukaryota; Metazoa; Chordata; Mammalia; Carnivora; Canidae. The record is from RNAcentral.